Molecule: ribosomal RNA, 460 nt
Filed under: uncultured bacterium
Lineage: Bacteria
Description: partial 16S ribosomal RNA
Rfam family: Bacterial small subunit ribosomal RNA
Source: RNAcentral
CCUACGGGGGACUGCAGUGAGGAAUAUUGGUCAAUGGACGAGAGUCUGAACCAGCCAAGUAGCGUGAAGGAUGACUGCCCUAUGGGUUGUAAACUUCUUUUAUAUGGGAAUAAAAUGUUCCACGUGUGGGAUUUUGUAUGUACCAUAUGAAUAAGGAUCGGCUAACUCCGUGCCAGCAGCCGCGGUAAUACGGAUGAUCCGAGCGUUAUCCGGAUUUAUUGGGUUUAAAGGGAGCGUAGGUGGAGUGUUAAGUCAGUUGUGAAAGUUUGCGGCUCAACCGUAAAAUUGCAGUUGAAACUGGCAGUCUUGAGUACAGUAGAGGUGGGCGGAAUUCGUGGUGUAGCGGUGAAAUGCUUAGAUAUCACGAAGAACUCCGAUUGCGAAGGCAGUUCACUGGACUGCAACUGACACUGAGGCUCGAAAGUGUGGGUAUCAAACAGGAUUAGAUACCCGAGUAGUC